CAAUAUAUGUGAUUCGGUGAUAAGUGCGUAUUUAUGUCCACAAUUAUGCCUUAAAAUUGAAAUUUUUGAUCAAGUAUUUAUGCUUAAAUGGUUUAUUUUAAGUGGUUUUGUGAUGAUUAGAAUUGUUGGGGUUGGGAAUUAAAGAGACAUAAAGUGUAAGUUUUAGCGCAUAAAUUAUUCUUGGAUGUUCUAAUAUUUAUUUCUGCAACUGGAAUUAGAGUUUUAUUGGUCCAAAUUGCAAUUUAAGACCCAAAAUCAGGUUUUGUUUGGAAAAUAAUGUACAGAUGGGCCAAACAGUCAGAUUUUCCCCUUACACCUCCUAAAAUCUCUACAUACACUCCUAUUUCUGAAACAGGCCAACAACCAAGCCCAAACACUAAGCCUUUUCUCUUUUCUCUCCUGUAACCCCUAAUUUCCUAUACACACCCCUCCUACCACUAAUUAAGCCAGAUAUCAUCAGAUUUUGUCACGUGACAAUCCACCACUAAUAGAUACAACCACUCAGAACAUGCCACCUAAACCCCUCAUGCCACGUCAUCACCAUCUUCUCUAACAAACAAAAACCCUAAUUCCUCUUCCUAACCCUAGUCGCCGCCUCCUCCAUGGCAGCCACCCAAUAACCUUCAGCAACCACCUAGACGCCGGCCACCGCCAUAGCAUUCUCCUUCCUCUUGUGAGUUCGUCUGUUCGCAUUGCCACCAUGGCCACCGUUCAUAAUCAUCACCGCAUCAGAACCUGCAUCAAAACUAAACAAAAACCCAACAACAGAAAACCCAGUUUGUAGUCUCAUGUGCUAGCCUCCGUCGAUCUCAACCUGCAAAUCGAAACCAGAGAAGCAAGAUUCUCCGCUGUCACGCCAUCUUCCAUUCGCACGAGGCAAAAACACUCAACCAGCCAUCACCUUUACCUUCGUAUCUCCAU
RNAcentral lists this long non-coding RNA (921 nucleotides) under Vigna radiata. RNAcentral's name for it is "long non-coding RNA (VRAD_LNC013350)". Lineage: Eukaryota; Viridiplantae; Streptophyta; Magnoliopsida; Fabales; Fabaceae. The record is from RNAcentral.